Molecule: ribosomal RNA, 253 nt
Filed under: uncultured bacterium
Lineage: Bacteria
Description: partial 16S ribosomal RNA
Rfam family: Bacterial small subunit ribosomal RNA
Source: RNAcentral
GACGUAGGAUGCAAGCGUUGUCCGGAAUUAUUGGGCGUAAAGAGUUCGUAGGCGGUUUGUUAAGUCUGGUGUUAAAGACGGGAGCUCAACUCCCGCAUGGCAUUGGAUACUGGCAGGCUAGAGUGCGGUAGAGGUCUCGGGAAUUCCAGGUGUAGCGGUGAAAUGCGUAGAUAUCUGGAGGAACACCGGUGGCGAAAGCGCGAGACUGGGCCGUAACUGACGCUGAGGAACGAAAGCCAGGGGAGCGAAAGGG